RNA transcript from Ziziphus jujuba (common jujube), 2248 nucleotides. It is a transcript of the gene named F-box protein At5g46170, with no coding region annotated. The transcript is spliced from 3 exons. The record is from RefSeq and is a predicted model, not a curated record. NCBI's taxonomy places the organism in Eukaryota, Viridiplantae, Streptophyta, Magnoliopsida, Rosales, Rhamnaceae.
UUUUUCUCUCACAUAAAAUUAAAUCGCUCUUUUUCUGUGAAGACAACCGUGGAUCUAUCUCAUCCCACCAGUCUCCCCUGCUCUUUCUCCCUUCGUUCUCGUUCUCUUUCUCUUUCUCUUUCUCUUUCUCUUUCGCUCUCCUCAACCUCAACAACAACAACAACAACAACAACAAUAAGAUUUGUUUCUUUCUCUGGUUGGGUUGGGUGUGUAUUUUGUUCAAUUUUUUUUUUUUUUUUUUGACAAAUCAAAUAAUAUUAUUAAGGGAGGGGAGGGGGGGUCGUUGUUGUGGAAACCCAAAUUCAAAAGCCAAGCCAUGCCAUAUCAUCCUUCAAGUUCCAGAUCUGCCCCAUACCCACUUCCCCAAUAUAUCCAUCUCUUUCCCUGACGCACCUCCUCUCACACCCCCUUCUCUCUCUCUUCUUCCAGCUCGAUCUGGGAUUUGCCCAUUUCACCUUCUUUUUGUUUCUCUUUUCUUCUUCCGUAUCGUCCGCGCUCUGCAAUGGCGGCCAUGCGUCUAGAUCUGACCUCCAGAGUGUUCCCGGACCCUGAUUCCGUGGACAUCGACCACUUCGAUCGCCUUCCUGAUUCUCUCCUCCUCUUGGUCUUCAACAAGAUCGGAGACGUCAAGGCCCUUGGUCGCUGCUGCGCUGUUUCGCGUCGGUUCCACACCCUUGUUCCUCAGGUUGAUAACGUCGUCGUUCGGGUUGAUUGUGUCAUCUCCGACGACGACUCAUCAUCCUCCGCCUCCGCUUCCGAUAAGUCUCGUGGCCCUUUCUCUAACCUCUUCCGCUUAGUCUUCGGCGGUAUUGUGAAGCCGCUCCAGGCUCUCGGACAGUUUUUGGGCCCCAAAAGAGCGUAUUCUUCUGCUUCCGGUUCAGGUUCCGGGUCGUCGUCGCUGGCCGUCGGGAGCGAAGAGGAAGGGGAGGUCGACCAGGGCGGCGUGACCCAUCACUCGCCCACUCAGGUUCUGAAGAAUUUCAACGAGAUUCGGUUCCUUCGGAUCGAGCUGCCCAGUGGCGAAUUGGGUAUAGACGACGGCGUGUUGUUGAAAUGGAGGGCCGACUUCGGGUCCACUCUGGAUAAUUGUGUGAUUCUCGGAGCGUCUUCGGUGAUAUAUCCAGGGCCCACCACCAAGUCUUCUUCGCUUGCUCAGGAAAACGGAGGGGCUGAUGGGUUUUGCGCCGCCGUCGGAAAUGGCGGUGAAGACAAUGGAAGCAUACCCGAAUCGUUUUACACCAAUGGGGGUCUGAAACUGAGGGUGGUUUGGACGAUAAGCUCUCUGAUUGCCGCGUCGGCGAGGCAUUAUUUGCUCCAGCCGAUAAUCUCAGAGCACAAGACGUUGGAUAAUUUGGUGCUGACGGAUGCAGAUGGGCAGGGGGUGUUGUGCAUGAACAGAGAUCAGCUGGAGGAGCUGAGGGUGAAGCCAUUGUCGGCCUCGUCGGCUUCGAAGAGGACGCUUGUGCCGGCUCUCAAUAUGAGACUUUGGUAUGCGCCUCACUUGGAAUUGCCAGAUGGGGUUGUGUUGAAGGGAGCAACUCUGGUUGCCAUUCGGCCCAGCGAGCAAUCGCCGGCCAAGAAGGAGGUUUCCGAUGGGUCUUGGGUUUCCACCGCGUUCGAGGAGCCCUACGGGACUGCCGCCAAGAUUCUGGUCAAAAGGCGGACUUACUGUCUUGAGAUGAACUCUUUCUGAAUGGGAAGAGGAAUAACGGGAAGGAUCUGAGGACUUUCUGGUGUUAUGUAGAAUGCCCUGAAAAUUUAGGGAACAUUUUUGGGUUCAUUAAGUAAAACUUCUGGGCCUCUGGCAGUAAAAGAAUAAGGCAGUCGUUGAAAAGUGUAAAGCACAAGCCUUGGAUGGAAUAGGAGAGAAAGAAGAAUUGGGGUAUUUCUGAAAGGGGAUAACCACUGAACAAUUUUGUAUUUGUUCCACAUGAAGAUGAAUCUUGCUUGGACUACCAUGGGAGUGGCCAUCUUCUGCAGAUUAUGCGCUACAAAAUGUAUCACCCUUCAACUCAGAAAGAGUUGAAAACGCAUCUGCUGUCUGUUUUAUUUCAGGCAUAUGCUUGUAAGAGUUCACACACCCACCCCAAAUAGAUUGAGAUCUUGUAAGAGCUUGGUGUUUGUAGUCAUCUACUUCUAUCUUGUCAUCUCUCUGUAUGUGAAUAUUAUAGGUAUGACUAUGUUAUGCUUCUGUGAUAUAUGUUAAAAGUUCAUUUGAGCAAUGUAGUUAGUAUUAAGCUUUGAUUAA